GGUUUUAUAGUCUAAUUAGGAUGUUAGUUUGCAAAUCUAAAGGUGUAAUUUACUAAAACCU
Molecule: transfer RNA, 61 nt
Filed under: Notopteryx soror
Lineage: Eukaryota; Metazoa; Arthropoda; Insecta; Hemiptera; Coreidae
Description: tRNA-Cys
Rfam family: tRNA
About the family: Transfer RNA (tRNA) molecules are approximately 80 nucleotides in length.
Source: RNAcentral